Long non-coding RNA from Rosa chinensis, 1033 nucleotides. RefSeq lists it as uncharacterized. The transcript has 6 exons. Lineage: Eukaryota; Viridiplantae; Streptophyta; Magnoliopsida; Rosales; Rosaceae. The record is from RefSeq and is a predicted model, not a curated record.
CCAACUUUUUUGAUUUUCAUCGUUUUAAUUAUUGGUGAUGCUUUUGUUUUUGUUCUGAGUUAAUGUUUUUGCGAUUCUUUCUUCUUCUCAUGAUUAGAGUGCGGAUUUGGGCAAAUCUGGGUGUCUUUAUCAAUUCAUGUUUGUGGAUCUUGGAGCCCAACACUGCAAUAGCGGCUGCAAUAUUUGAAUUAAAAGGAAAUGUUUGAGUGUCGUAGCGGAAAGCAUUGUUAACUUUUAGCAUUGCUGAAUUGGAUGGAAGAAAGAAUGCAUCCCUUUAAUCAGGGCCUCUUCAAAGAAACUAAGACCAAUGAGAUGUGUCUUAGAAUUUGCUCUAGAAGUAAAGAUGUUGUGGAGCCUAUCAUAAAGCCUGAGCGGUACAUUAAAUGCAGCGAUAUGGGAAAUGAAUCUCUCAAUGCUGUCGCUGAUGAUGAAAAUAGGAAGCUGGAGAUUAUCCCAAGACAGUAUACUGCUGAAUGGAAGAGAUGACUUCGUAACAUUAGUGAUUGGUGUGUCUCGAGACAACUUUGGUGGAGUCACCGUGUUCUGGCACGGUAUGUUGUUUUUUAGGGUGAUAACAACGAAGAAUUUGGAAAACAAUUUGAGCGAUGGGUGGUUGCAGGAAGUGAGGAAGAGGCUCAAGCAUUGGCUGAUCAAAAAUAUGAGGGAAAGAAGUUUCGAUUAGAACAGGACUCAGAUGUGCUUGACAGGUGGUUUUCGUCUGGUCUUUUCCCAUUGUCGGUAUUGGGCUGGCCGGAUUAAGAACUUUUUAUCCAAAUUCAGUUGUUGAAACUGGGCACGAUAUUCUGUUUUUCUGGGUUGCUCGUAUGGUGAUGCUUGGAAAUAUAUUGGGCUGUAAUGUUCCUUUUACUAAGAUGAUUGCCCCUCAACCACAGAAGUAGUCCCACACUAGCCCCCUUAUUCAAAGACUUUUUCACCGUGAAUUUUGUUUUUUGGCAAAGCAUGUGAAAAUGUUUGGGGAUUCAUUUGAAUGUACUAACUGCAGUUAGAACAAAGUUUUCUUUUUAGCCCUAAU